RNAcentral lists this ribosomal RNA (268 nucleotides) under uncultured bacterium. RNAcentral describes it as "partial 16S ribosomal RNA". It matches the Rfam family "Bacterial small subunit ribosomal RNA", at positions 524 to 789 of the family's 1533-position model. The record is from RNAcentral.
UACGGGGGGAGCAAGCGUUGUUCGGAUUUACUGGGCGUAAAGGGCGCGUAGGCGGUCGUGACAAGUCACUUGUGAAAUCUCCGGGCUUAACUCGGAACGGUCAAGUGAUACUGUCGGACUAGAGUACAGAAGGGGCAACUGGAAUUCUCGGUGUAGCGGUGGAAAUGCGUAGAUAUCGAGAGGAACACCUGCGGCGAAGGCGGGUCUCUGGGCCGAUACUGACGCUGAGGAGCGAAAGCGUGGGGAGCGAACAGGAUUAGACUACCGA